AACGAACGCUGGCGGCGUGCUUAACACAUGCAAGUCGAACGCACCGCAAGGUGAGUGGCGCACGGGUGAGUAACGCGUGGGAAUCUACCUUUUGAUUCGGAAUAACAUCGGGAAACUGGUGCUAAUACCGGAUAAGCCCUUCGGGGGCAAGAUUUAUCGUCAAAAGAUGAGCCCGCGUUGGAUUAGCUAGUUGGUGAGGUAACGGCUCACCAAGGCGACGAUCCAUAGCUGGUCUGCGAGGAUGAUCAGCCACACUGGGACUGAGACACGGCCCAGACUCCUACGGGAGGCAGCAGUGGGGAAUAUUGGACAAUGGGGGCAACCCUGAUCCAGCAACGCCGCGUGAGUGAUGAAGGUCUUCGGAUUGUAAAGCUCUUUUGGCAGGGACGAUGAUGACGGUACCUGCAGAAUAAGCUCCGGCUAACUUCGUGCCAGCAGCCGCUGUAA
Molecule: ribosomal RNA, 447 nt
Filed under: uncultured bacterium
Lineage: Bacteria
Description: partial 16S ribosomal RNA
Rfam family: Bacterial small subunit ribosomal RNA
Source: RNAcentral